Molecule: long non-coding RNA, 8693 nt
Organism: Homo sapiens (human)
Lineage: Eukaryota; Metazoa; Chordata; Mammalia; Primates; Hominidae
Exons: 2
Source: RefSeq, a predicted model, not a curated record
UUCUUUUCUUUUUUUUUUUUUGCAAAAAGAUGUCUUUUGAAUUCCAGCAUCCUGGGUGGUCCCCACACUAACUGGAUGCUAGUCUCUGCCUCAGAUAUCCCUGAUGCUGAGUUGCAUACUGUGGAUUAUCUCACACAGGCUGUGCACAAACUCUGCCAGCACAUGCAAAGUGGGGCGAAGUGGGUAGCAGAGUACUCCGAGUGGCAGAUAUGAGGCAUCCCCCGCCCAUCCUCCGAAUACACACAGCCCUAAUCCCCACCAUUGAGCCAUUGACACUGAAUAACAGAGAGAACAAUGGUAUUGUCUUCCAUCUAAUCCAAACUAAGAAACUCCAGCAAUGGGGAAAAAGAAAACAUUUAAGUCUUUAAUCUAAUACUGAAAAGGACACAAACUCUAGAAUUACAAAAACAAAUCAUUACUUUUUUCACACAAUGGGCAAGAAGACCUUGAGGAGGCAAAGAAUAGGUUCCCUGGGGAGAAUUUUUUUUUUUUUUUAAAUUAUAGAUUUAAUACCUAGGAGAAAGAGGCUAUCUAUUACGGGGAGGCAGAGCUACUCCUGGUUCCUUCUUUUAAAUGUAAUCUAUGAGAAAGCCAUCUUCACAACGGGAAAUGGCAUCCCCCACUGCAAAACGCACGACUGUCAUUACCUGGGAAUCAAUAUAUUUUUUUAAACCAAAUAUAUCAUUAUCAAUUGAUUUUCCUUUUUCCUCUUAGCACUCCAGAGUCCCGGGUAGCAGGGGAAAGCUUUAAUGUGAUAUGAAGGAUUUGGACAGGUAAAUAAGUUAUUGUAAACUCAUUCUGCCUUAUGGUCAGCUUCCCUCUGACAACGCAACGAGUCUUUCUCAGAUCCUCUCAACCUAAGCUUUUCCAGCGGCCGCUGAUAGAGAUGCACGUGAUCCAUAUCAAAUAGCCAUUUUCAAGCUGAAGGUGGCAAAAAUAUUAUUUUUCUCAAGGAUAGAAUGUUCUCUUUACGACUAAGAAAUAACCUCUGCGGGGAAGCAAAAUCAGCCAAGGUCGCCAUUUAAUUUUGACACAGAACCAAAGUGGCGAGUACAUUUCCUCUCCAAGGUGAAGCACAAGGAGAAACUGAUCACUUUGACCACAAGGUAUUGGCAAUACUGGUGAUCGAUGUAUUCUGGGAAAGAUCCUUGGCAGAUAAGUGCUGGUGAACAGAGAGGUCUAGGAGAUAGGGGUCAAACCAUUUUUAGGUGCUUGAGAAUCUCAUUCAUUCAUUCAUUCAUUUAAUAAAUAUUGAUUCCCUCUAUGUGUCAGGCAGUAUGUUCAAGGCACUGGGAAUACAUGAGUGAACAAAAGAGAAAGGUACUCCUGCCCUCAGGGAGCUCAUAUUCUAGAGGGUGGAAACACAGAAUAUACAAUACACUUAAAAAGUAGUGAAAAUUGUAUCAUAUUUUGGAAGGUAGUAUAUGCAAUUUAUUAGAGAAGAAAUGGAGCAGGGUAGGGUGCAUGUUGUCGGGGGGCCUGUGGUGCAGUUUAAGUAGGGUGGGCAGGGCCAGUCUUGUGAGUGGAGGACAUUUGAGCACACACUUCAAGAUGAGGAGUAGGUCGUGUGGGCAUCUGGCCCUAAGUGUUCUAGGCAGAGGGAACAGCCAGUGAGAACAUGGCUGGUAUGUUCCAGGACCACCAAGGAAGCCACUGUGGCUGGUGGAGGGAGAUUCUAGUAAGAGGUGAGGCCAGAGUGGUGAGCAUCCUGAUUGCGUAGGGCCCUGUAGGCUACUGUGAAGUCUACUAACUUGAGAGCCCAAAGAUCCCAGCCACCAUCUUUAGAAGUGGCUCCCAAUUUCUUGAGCCAAAACCCUCAGAGUUCAUGUCGGGUUAAUCCACUUCCUUUCCAGGCUGUGCCGAAUGAAUAUGGAAUAGGCUAGACUGUAGCCUAGAGGGACAGUGGUGGGAAGGAAGCACAGGCUGUCUACGCCUGUCCUGACGACAGUGGCCUUGCCCUUCCAUCUCUGUGGUCCCUACCUCUAGGGGAGACAACUGAAACAGUUCUGAACAAAAAUAAACCACAUGCACAGCUGAGUUCUCUGGGACUUUUCCUCAUGUGCUGAUGAAAAGGUCUGGAAGUGAAUGACCCAUUGGCUAUUAUAGACUGUACUGGAUGUUUUGUGUUGGGCCCUUUUGACCUGCCUUCCACCUUCCCCACCCUGUUCUUCCCCACCUCUCCCAGGCGAGCCCUGGGAGGCUCACCUGACCUGUAUGGAGAGCAUCCCUCAUGUUUUGGACCCUCUGACUUCUGGUUAGGUUCAGCCCAUGCAAGCACUAGCAGGAGACUGGGGACAGGGUCAGGGUUGACUGUUGGUUCCCCUGCUCCCCUCCCUCUCUGCGUCUUCAUGAGCAGGGUGUCCCUCACCUGCAGGUCAUGGCUCUAGCUGGGGAACAAGGAGCUCCACAAGGCUCUCUCUCUGGAUUCCUGUAAUAGCUCCUUCCCCUGACCAUUAUGCUCAAAGGCAGUAAUUCCCCUCAUCCCAUCAUCAGCCUGGGGGCACUGUGCUAUGAUGGUUUCUCUAUACUGUGCCUAUUCAUCUUUGUGGAUAGUCAUUUUACUUAACUCUCUCCAAAUUACACAUUUGAAUAUGUCUAUUUCAAGACCCCGAUAGAUACAUUCACAGAGAGGGUUAAAAGCAAGACCCUGGAAUCAGAUACAUCUGAAUUAGAAUUCUAACACUGACACUUAGUUUUGUGACAGCAGGUAAGUUCUUUAACUCCUAGGAACCUCUGUUUCCCAUUCUUUUUAGGCCAACAUUCAAAUUGAGGAAAUACAGAGAAUACCACAAAGAUACUACUCGAGAAGAGUAACCCCAGGACACAUAAUGGUCAUAUUUAUCAAGGUUUUGUUUUGUUUUGUUUUGUUUUGAGAUGGAGUCUCACUCUGUUGCCCAGGCUGGAGUGCAGUGGCGCAAUCUUGGCUCACUGCAGCCUCCGCCUCCCGGGUUCAAGCAAUUCUCCUGCCUCAGUCUCCCAAGUAGCUGGGACUACAGGCACACGCCGCCAUGCCCGGCUAAUUUUUGUAUUUUUAGUAGAGACAGGGUUUCAUCAUGUUGGUCAGGAUGGUCUUGAUCUUCUGACCUUGUGAUCCGCCCGCCUCGGCCUCCCAAAGUGCUAAAACUAGAGAACCCGUGACAUCCUCCUCCUCUUCCUCCAUCUCAGCAUCACCAUCUCAGAAGUGCCAUCACCUGCUCAAAGUCCAGGGCAAGCACACCUGCUUCCCGACAUCUUUGCCGACCCCAACCAGAAACUCUUUCCUUGAAAGGGUUUCUAACUGUUCUCGGUUAACAUUUAGCAUCAGUCUAUGCCUCAGUGAUUUUAUUUAUUUUUUCACAUCUUUCCUUUCUUGUUCUUUUCCCACCCACCCAACCCCCACGCCUUGCAGUUAGACCCUGGGCUUAAUAGACAGUAUCUUUUGGAAUCUCUGGUCCAUAGCACCCAUCAUGUAGCGGUGUAUAAACGAUCCUUGACUCAUUAUUGUCCUUUCUGGGAGGCCUAUAAGCUACAUCCAUGCACCUAAGCAUGUCCCACUCUAAUGAGAUACAUGGUAUUUAAAAGUGAUUUAAAAAUAAAUUACUAGAAACCAAUUUUUAGUAAUAAUUUUGUUCCCAAGUUAACACUGUAAAAUCUUAACGUUUCCAAAGAUCAUGGCCUGGGAAAAUGAAUCCCAGGAAUGAACCCAGGAAAUCACAGGGAGGCAGGUAUGGUUUUCUAUCUCCAGGUGAAUAAAGAGAUUGCUUCAGGGCUUAAUUUGUGACACUUUUGGCCAAAUUGACCUUUUCCCUUCCACUAAUUUCAUCAAACGGCAGCCUACAGUCUUAAGGAAAACAAAUCGUAAAAGCUAAAGGACAGAGGACUCUAAUUUAUUUUAAAAAAUACAGUAGGUAGUCAGUCACUGCUUGUGAAAGGGGUCUUAGGACUUUCAGCUUCCCAAGGUACUCAAGAGAUGUUAAUUGACUUUGACAAGGCAUUAAGACCAAUAUGAAAGCAAGACCCUUGAAUGGGCUAUUUGGGUUAAAUGCUUGGAGAGCUUCAAAAUGAAACUAGAGAAAAAUUUUGAGAUCCAUUUUACCUCUAAGUCUAUAAAUAAAGAUAGUUCCUAACAUGAACCAAACUGAUGGUCAAGAGAAUUAUGAACAAGGGCCCCAGGAUUUUUUACUUCUUUAUAAAAUACACCAUGUUUUUAGGGGAGAGAAACUGCCUUAAGAGAGGAGAAACCAAUUAGGGAGCCUCCAGUUUGACACAGCAUCAGAAAGCAGCCCCGCCAGGGUCGUAACCACACUCUCCAAUUAUGGGUCCAGAACCCAGAAGUUCAGCACCCCUCAGCAAACUGGGCAACAAAGAGUCUUUCUUCCUUGGAAAAGAAAAGCAAAGGAACUGGAGGCUGUAAACUGUAGGGAGGAAACCGGCUCCCGAGCCCACCCUCCUGUCAGCCCAGAUAUGGGACUCUGCGGCACCUCUGACCCUGGGCAGGAACGCCUGCUCCCAGUGUGUCCUGCAAGGGGAACGCUCAUUCAUAUUCUUUUUAAGACGAGAGAAAAACAGGCCAUCCAUCCAUUAAUAAUAUCAACUGUGGGUUCACCAAAGCCUGCAGGCUUCUUGCCAACACAAAAAUAAACAUUCUCAGAAGGUUUAUCCAUCAGGUUCACGACAGUUCAUGAGCCGGGGUCCGGAAGGCACUGCUUUUUAAAGGGGAGAGUGAAGAUGCAAAGAUGGAGUAAGUCAUGAGAGUCCACCCAGCACAACGCAGAGAUUGCCUAUUCCAUUAAGGAGCCACAAUUGGCCACUGAUGAGAUCCGUUAUUUUCAGCUGGUAGGGAUGCAGCUCCUGGCAUGCUUUUUGUAGGCUGUAUUCAAAGAAAGACAGUGUCUGCAGAAGCCAGGCUGACCGAUUUGAGAGGUAACAAUGUUUUCAUAAGGCUUGAAGUUUACAAAGCCUAGCCCAUUCUUAUUUUCUCAUUUACCUGUUCUAACAAAUUUAUGAGUUGAUUACUUUUGUAAUCCUCAUUUUACAGAUGAGGGAACAGAGGCUCAUGGCAAAAAAAGGUUGUCCAAAGUCACACAGCAAGUCAAAGAGGGAGCCUGAACAGCAAGCCUGGAUUUUGUGCCUCCCAUUCCAGGCUUUUGUUCCUGGGCCUCCAGCUGCCGUCACCCUUCUCCUCGUGAAAACUCCUCCCUGGACACUUCUUUCUGCACUCUCUGGAGUACGAAACUUUCCAGGCAAAAUACUGGAGACUAUCACAAUAAGGACACACGUGCCACCCAAGGAGGCUUCCUGUUGGGCCAGCACAGCACCAAAGGGCCCAUCUCCUAGUUGCCUUGGAUGGUUUGGGGCGAGGAGAAUGGGAAGAUAAAGAAAAUGAGGUGUUCAUAGUUGGACUGGAUCCUAAGUUAUGCCAUGACAUGACUCCACCAUAAACCCAGCAUGAAAGGUUUCAGGAAAAAAAGUUGCAAACCAAAAUCCUCUUAAAAUCUUUUUUUUUUUUUUGAUACACAGCAGACCCCCCCAAAAUGAAAUGAACUCGAACUCACCCAACUCAGCCCUGCCACUCAAUGCUGGCACAUAUCCCCCCACCCUCACUCUACCAGUUAAUACAGAUUCGCCCAUCACUGGAAGCAGAACCGGAAUGACCCUUGCAUUUCCACAAGAUGAAGAAAAAGAAGCCAAAGGUGCCAACUGGACCUACCAAAGCUUGACUCACCCACAGCAGCACUGAAGAUGUCGGCAGGGAGGACCCACCUGGCACGUAGUAGAUGCUCAGUAAAGAGUAAAGCUCUGUUCAAAAAAGGAAAUUGCCUCCACGGUUCAACUCAUUUUCCACAAUUUUUCUUUGAACAUCUGGAAGAUGUUCACACCAUAGGUUGAUGAUUGGAAUAUAAACCAGUUUAAAAAAAAAUCAGACACUGCUUCCAGAUUUUGCUCUUAUAAACAGGCCUCCAUCCUCCCUGUAAAUUGCAAUAAUUCCUUCCCAGAUGUUGCUUCUCCUUCAGACCCAUAAAUCUCAGCUUUUCAUAAGGAUGCUUCGCCUCUGCCUGGUGCUGCGGGCUGCGUGGCGUGCUCCUGCAUCUUCUCUCCCUCAUUAGAUGCCACACGAACCCCAUGAGGCAGGGCAGGUGCCCACAUCCCUGAUUCCCUGACGGGCAGGCCAGCUGCCAGCUCUCUCAAGUUGGACUGCGGUGGGUGCGGGUGUUGAGCAACACACAGUAGCCUUUUCUCCAACACCCUCCAGGUCACCAUGUGGGUGGGGAGUCAGAGACUCACAGCGCCUACUCCCAUCUAUAGAGGCUCCACUCCCGCUGCCUUGGUGCCCUCAGGGGCAUUGCCCCUUUAAAAGUCUGACUCCAGUGUGGACACAGCUUUCCUCGACUCUCCCUGACACUCCUGGGACCAGGCUAUAACAUUUAAACAAGACUUGACUGGAGUCUUGUGGAGUAAAGCAAAACAACAGGCAAAGAAAUAGGCGAGAGCCAUGAGAAGAAAGCAACACACAGCCAGACAACUUGGCUCCCGGCCGGUUUUCCAGGAGGGCCCCAGGGGCCUGGUCAGGCCCAUCCCAAGUCCUCAGCAUCCACCAGACAGAAACUCGCACCCAGGAAAGAGGCCACCUCAAGUCUGGACGCCGUAAGCAGAGCCCAGAGAGAGCAGGGCUUCUGUGUUGCCUUCGGCUUUCCCUGUUCCAGUUUCUUGUCUGAAGUCUGUCUUUUGCCUGGUGAUCAGCCCUGGAACUGUUGGCCCGGUUCUUCAGGGGAGCCUGUGACCUGCACCCCAAGCACUCAAAUAGCCAGCCACAUCAGAAAACACCACAAGCCCUCUAGCCAGACCAAAGCUAUAGGUGUCGGGGGGCUGGAGACGGCCGUGGGGACAGGAGAAACAGACAGCAUAGUAGCUCACUCCUAGGGUCUGGAAUGAGCCAGUCUGGUCCACAGAUAUAGCUGCUGAUGCUCGGCGGGGAGGGGGGCGGUGUCUCUUGAAGCCCCACCCCUUUAGGGCAUGGCCUCUUGAUAGCUUUAAAGAGGAAUGAUGGGAACAGAAUGGCUUCACAGGGUAAAACAAGGUGGGCUAUUAGACUUCGUGAUUUGCUGGUCCCCUUACAGAGAUGCAGAGAUCUUCUCCCAAGUCUGAAUCCUGUAGCCUCACUCCUGGUCUGCACAGCACCACCUGAGCUUCAUUUUGGGUUUCCAUCCUAGUCUCGGAGACACCAGUUCAGAGGCUGGCUCAGCCUGUGUAGUGGUCAGGAGCAUGGAAGAUUUAUAAUCUGAGGGAGCUGCAUCUAAAUCUCAGCUCUGCCGUUUGAUGGCAAUGACCACGUCUGCCCACCCUCCACUCCCAGUCCCUGCCUCAAGCUCCUCUUCUAUACAAUGGGGAUGAUACCACUAAACAUCGAUGGUUGUUCUGAGAGUUGAAUGUUCUACCAUAAGAAAGAAACUUAACAUAGUCUAUGGCACAUACACAUGGCAGCAAUAACCAUUAUAAUGAUCAUGCCUGCUCAUUGAAGAACAAAAUACCUAUAGUGCCAUGGGGAUGGCUGGGAGUCACACUAGAUGGAGCCUUCUCUUCCACCACCCCGCCAAAGAAGUGGGCACGGAGGGCACAAAUGAAUGAAGAGGGGUCUUCCUCAGAAGGCGGUGGAACCAACGGGCUGAUCACGUGUGCAAGAGUGCUGGGUUGGUUUCACACUGGUCAGCGACCACUCUCCGCUCCCUCCAGCUCUCUCCCUGAAUUUCAGCCUUCACAGAGCCCCUGUUCCCAUCCCGCCUGCAGCCAGCGAUUGGUAAACCAAAAUCAAGACCUUCGGGCAGAUGCUGCUACAGCUUCUAUUUCAUGAUUCUGCCUUUCCUUUGAGCCCAAGCCUACAGAGCCAGUGGCCAAAAACCCCUUCCCCAACACAAGUGGGUCUUAAAAUGCAUUGCUUCCUCACUCAGUAAAAAAGCUAUUUUAUUUGAAUAGAUCUGAGGCUGUUUUCUACACUCUCAGAAUAAAAAAAAUUGUGAAAGAAAGGCUUUAGAGAUUACAGGACUUUUUACCCAAAUAUGAUGAGUUAUUCAUUUAAAAAUAAACUACAGACAGGCAUGUUUCUCCAUACACAGGCAGAAAGAUGCCAUUAACUAGGAAUUUCUGUAAGUACUCUGCUUUUCUUGGCCAAUAUGGAAAGAGCCUAGGAGCUGGAAAUAGAAUGAGAAGCUAAUUCUGUUUUCCUGGUCUCUACCAAUGUGUGUAGGUAAGUGGCUUGAUCGCACUGUGGCUCUGUGAUCCAUCUGAAGAAACACGCGGGAUGGCUUACCACCCUGACUGCUCUUCUGGAAAGGAGGCCAGCAGCUGAGCAGCAGUCAGCACGGAGGUACCCAUCAUGGAGCCACAGCCUGGCACGAAUUGAUGUCUGGAUCCAGGCAGGGUCACCAAAGGCAGGAGAAGAAUCCAACCAUCAUGCUGUGAAAAGCCCAACGUAACCACAUGGAGAGGCCACAUGGAAAGGAACUGAAGCUGUGGUCAACAGCAGCAGUUGAGUUCCCAGUCAACAGCCAGCUCCAACUUUCUAGUCAUGUGAGUGAGCCAUCUUGGAAGUGCAUCUUGCAACCUCAGUCAAGCCAUGUUAGCUGGCAUCAUGAAGAGCAAACAUGAACCAUCCUUGCUGAGCCCUGCCCAAACUGCAGAAUUCUGAGCAAAUAAAUGUUGUUCUUUUAGGUUACUAA